Musa acuminata AAA Group (dessert banana) is the source of this 1573-nucleotide long non-coding RNA. RefSeq lists it as uncharacterized. Lineage: Eukaryota; Viridiplantae; Streptophyta; Magnoliopsida; Zingiberales; Musaceae. The transcript is spliced from 2 exons. The record is from RefSeq and is a predicted model, not a curated record.
GACUGAAACCCAGCGUGUAGCUCCGAAUGCCUCACCGGCGCUGACAAAUUGCUGGAAUAUCUGAUGCACUGGUUUGUCCUCCACCUCUGCAUGUUCUACCCAGAUCACCUGCCCAAAGAAAUAUGAGGUAUAAAGCAGGUGAGCAACAUUCCCAGAACAUAGAAGAGCUUUUUCUUGUCCCGGUGAUACAUAAACACAGCAAAUCAAGUUUCCGUACCUUGGAGUACCCAUUGGGCAUAUCUUGGAUGACACAACCAGAAGUCCUCCUUCUAUACCAGGGGAAGGGGCUUUGAAUGCCAUCUCGGAAUCCAUCAACGGGGAAGUCGACUAUAAUCCAAGUGCCUUCUUCUGAGUUCUGCUGGCAGUACCGGAAGAAGUGAGCUUCACGGGCGGGCACCAACGGAGAUAGAAAUUGCAGCUCUGCCUGCAUCUGUUAAUGGCCCGAACAUGAGCAAAGCAGAUGCCAACAACAACGUGUAUUCAUGGAGGUGAUCCGACAAAUUACCAGAUGCAAGCAGCCAUUGCCGUGGCCGGGAACUCCGGGACUCAAAACCUGCACCGUUCUGGACUUUGCGACAAGGGAAGGAAACAGCUCCAUCCAUUUGUUCUGGACAAAGUAACCGACAGGGUAAGAGCUCAUGAUGCUACAGAGACGAUUCAUGGAUCUAGGAAAAGAUUGACUCACUGCAUCCAGGAAGGCAUCCACCGUUGUGAUGCCGUUCAUUAUGACCAUGGCACUGUCCCUGGAAGUCUCCGUCCUAAACCGCCCCUGUUGCUGCUUCAGGUCCAUCGGCCAUGGACACAUCCUCGCAUGCUCUUCCAAGUUCAAGACCUCCACGGUGCUACCACCUCUUCGGAUCCACAGCGGCUCGUUCGUGUUGCACAUCCUGACCAGGUGAUCUGCUGCCGUCAUUGCCAGGUCGAGAACCAAUGGCCUGUCUUGGUCCAUGAUGAGCAUGCCAGGGAACGGCGAGGGCUCAUCGGAGAUCUGCGGGAUGGGGAUCAGGUCGGUGCAGCUCACCACCGGCGGCUCGUGGAAGUGUCUGGAGUAGAUGCCCAUGUCAAGGUCAAGAGAGGGGAGCAGUAGAGGCGGUGCCGGCCCUAAUGGCUGCAACUGCCGGCCACUGUAACGCGACGCGAUGCAGGAUAGACGCUCAAGCUGCACAUUGAAGUGGUGAACAGAGGAAAUGAUAGCAAGAGCAAGUGCAUGUGGAGGUAACGUCGUUCUGGGAGGAGCUAGGUUAGGGUUCAGUACCUCGUCCUUGAGCCGGGCGUUCUCGAUGCGCAGUUGCUGCUCGUCGAAGGACAUCUCGCCGAGGAUGGCCGGGCCGCCGCAGCUGGGGCAGACGACGUUGCGAAUGGCUGCCUGCAGCCGGAAGUUGUCGUUCUUCAGGCUCUCGUUCUCCGCCCGCAGCACCACGUUGUCCGCCCGGUCUUGUUGAGCCUGCAGCGUGCCGCAGUUACAAUCCCAUGCAUAUCAGUAAGCUUUCUUCCACAACGAAUAGCAUCUAAUUCUUGUAUCAUUGUUGGUACUGAUGCAUGAAUGAAGGGUUGCAGACGCACCUUCAUCUGA